UACAGAGGUCUCAAGCGUUGUUCGGAUUCAUUGGGCGUAAAGGGUGCGUAGGUGGCGGGGUAAGUCGGAUGUGAAAUCCCGGGGCUCAACCUCGGAACUGCAUUCGAUACUGCUUUGCUAGAGUACUGGAGAGGAGAUUGGAAUUUACGGUGUAGCAGUGAAAUGCGUAGAUAUCGUAAGGAAGACCAGUGGCGAAGGCGGAUCUCUGGACAGUUACUGACACUGAGGCACGAAGGCCAGGGGAGCAAACGGG
RNAcentral lists this ribosomal RNA (253 nucleotides) under uncultured bacterium. Its description in RNAcentral is "partial 16S ribosomal RNA". It matches the Rfam family "Bacterial small subunit ribosomal RNA", at positions 524 to 776 of the family's 1533-position model. The record is from RNAcentral.